RNAcentral lists this ribosomal RNA (439 nucleotides) under uncultured bacterium. RNAcentral's name for it is "partial 16S ribosomal RNA". It matches the Rfam family "Bacterial small subunit ribosomal RNA", at positions 339 to 795 of the family's 1533-position model. The record is from RNAcentral.
CUACGGGGGGCUCCAGUGAGGAAUAUUGCACAAUGGGGGGAACCCUGAUGCAGCAACGCCGCGUGGAGGAUGACGCAUCUCGGUGUGUAAACUCCUUUUAUAUGUCAAGAAAAUGACGGUAGCAUAUGAAUAAGCACCGGCUAACUCCGUGCCAACAGCCGCGGUAAUACGGAGGGUGCAAGCGUUACUCGGAAUCACUGGGCGUAAAGGACGCGUAGGCGGGUUGGAAAGUCAGGUGUGAAAUCCUACAGCUUAACUGUAGAACUGCACUUGAAACUUCUAAUCUAGAGUAUGGGAGGGGGAGAUGGAAUUAGUGGUGUAGGGGUAAAGUCCGUAGAUAUCACUAGGAAUACCUAAAGCGAAGGCGAUCUCCUGGAACAUUACUGACGCUAAGGCGUGAAAGCGUGGGGAGCAAACAGGAUUAGAUACCCGGGUAGUC